Long non-coding RNA from Ornithodoros turicata, 536 nucleotides. RefSeq lists it as uncharacterized. The transcript is spliced from 5 exons. The record is from RefSeq and is a predicted model, not a curated record. Lineage: Eukaryota; Metazoa; Arthropoda; Arachnida; Ixodida; Argasidae.
UUCAAGCGCGCUAGCCUAAAAGUGCCAGUGGGACGCGGAAUGCGGAAUCAGGUAUCGGCGUGAACCGCUAUAGAGACAAUUUUGUUUGCAGGCGGAUCAGUUAGCAGACGACAACAGACGAGCGACCGCCAUAUUUGCCUUAUUGUGACGACACCUGAUGAACCUUUCGGCCAGGACGAACCACCAAUUGCGCUUUAUGCCGGUUCGGCUCCAUUGAUAUUUAUCCUCAGAACAUCAGUUCUCUCAUGCGCUUCUCUUGCCGAACGCUCACCGUAAGCUUCAGAACAGCACUGAACGUUCGCCUGUGAAGUACGAAGUGCUGCUGAGCUGAGCUUAUCCCAAGCAGGAAUCGAACCCCGAUCGGACGCCGUCCUAAUAUCACUUGGGUUCACCGAACGAAGUGACAUCAAAGUUAGCGUGACCGUCUGGAAGCCAGUUUGCCUUUGGACCCUUUUGAGCUGCACCGGAGCACUAUAGAGUUACGACUUGGAGUGACCCUUGUUUCCGUUCGUGAGGCACUUCAAGGCACUUCGAGG